This 439-nucleotide ribosomal RNA is filed under the name uncultured bacterium. RNAcentral describes it as "partial 16S ribosomal RNA". It matches the Rfam family "Bacterial small subunit ribosomal RNA", at positions 339 to 795 of the family's 1533-position model. The record is from RNAcentral.
CUACGGGCGGCUGCAGUGAGGAAUAUUGCACAAUGGGGGAAACCCUGAUGCAGCAACGCCGCGUGGAGGAUGACGCAUUUCGGUGUGUAAACUCCUUUUAUGAGUCAAGAAAAUGACGGUAGCUCAUGAAUAAGCACCGGCUAACUCCGUGCCAGCAACCGCGGUAAUACGGAGGGUGCAAGCGUUACUCGGAAUCACUGGGCGUAAAGGACGCGUAGGCGGGCUUGUAAGUCAGGUGUGAAAUCCUACAGCUUAACUGUAGAACUGCACUUGAAACUACGAGCCUAGAGUAUGGGAGGGGCAGAUGGAAUUAGUGGUGUAGGGGUAAAAUCCGUAGAUAUCACUAGGAAUACCGAAAGCGAAGGCGAUCUGCUGGAACAUUACUGACGCUAAGGCGUGAAAGCGUGGGGAGCAAACGGGAUUAGAUACCCUGGUAGUC